UACGUAGGGUGCAAGCGUUAAUCGGAAUUACUGGGCGUAAAGCGUGCGCAGGCGGUUUUGUAAGUCUGAUGUGAAAUCCCCGGGCUCAACCUGGGAAUUGCAUUGGAGACUGCAAGGCUAGAAUCUGGCAGAGGGGGGUAGAAUUCCACGUGUAGCAGUGAAAUGCGUAGAGAUGUGGAGGAACACCGAUGGCGAAGGCAGCCCCCUGGGUCAAGAUUGACGCUCAUGCACGAAAGCGCGGGGAGCAAACAGG
RNAcentral lists this ribosomal RNA (253 nucleotides) under uncultured bacterium. Its description in RNAcentral is "partial 16S ribosomal RNA". It matches the Rfam family "Bacterial small subunit ribosomal RNA", at positions 524 to 776 of the family's 1533-position model. The record is from RNAcentral.